RNAcentral lists this ribosomal RNA (881 nucleotides) under Colletotrichum coccodes. RNAcentral's name for it is "LSU rRNA". It matches the Rfam family "Eukaryotic large subunit ribosomal RNA", at positions 43 to 954 of the family's 3401-position model. Lineage: Eukaryota; Fungi; Ascomycota; Sordariomycetes; Glomerellales; Glomerellaceae. The record is from RNAcentral.
UCAAUAAGCGGAGGAAAAGAAACCAACAGGGAUUGCCCCAGUAACGGCGAGUGAAGCGGCAACAGCUCAAAUUUGAAAUCUGGGCCCCAGGCCCGAGUUGUAAUUUGCAGAGGAUGCUUUUGGCGCGGUGCCUUCCGAGUUCCCUGGAACGGGACGCCAUAGAGGGUGAGAGCCCCGUACGGUUGGACACCAAGCCUUUGUAAAGCUCCUUCGACGAGUCGAGUAGUUUGGGAAUGCUGCUCAAAAUGGGAGGUAUAUUUCUUCUAAAGCUAAAUAUUGGCCAGAGACCGAUAGCGCACAAGUAGAGUGAUCGAAAGAUGAAAAGCACUUUGAAAAGAGGGUUAAACAGCACGUGAAAUUGUUGAAAGGGAAGCGCUUGUGACCAGACUUGCGCCCGGUGAAUCACCCAGCUCUCGCGGCUGGGGCACUUUGCCGGCACAGGCCAGCAUCAGCUUGCCGUCGGGGACAAAAGCUUCGGGAACGUAGCUCUCUUCGGGGAGUGUUAUAGCCCGUUGCAUAAUACCCUUCGGCGGGCUGAGGUACGCGCUCCGCAAGGAUGCUGGCGUAAUGGUCAUCAGCGACCCGUCUUGAAACACGGACCAAGGAGUCAACCUUAUGUGCGAGUGUUUGGGUGUUAAACCCCUACGCGUAAUGAAAGUGAACGCAGGUGAGAGCUUCGGCGCAUCAUCGACCGAUCCUGAUGUUCUCGGAUGGAUUUGAGUAAGAGCAUAUAGGGUUGGACCCGAAAGAAGGUGAACUAUGCGUGUAUAGGGUGAAGCCAGAGGAAACUCUGGUGGAGGCUCGCAGCGGUUUCUGACGUGCAAAUCGAUCGUCAAAUAUGCGCAUGGGGCGAAAGACUAAUCGAACCUUCUAGUAGCUGG